AUUGCCUUAAGGGUGGGCGGAAGCGCAGAAGGUACUGUAAUUUUAAUUUAGCAUGGAAGAAGAAUUUCAAUUUACGAUGGUCAAAGCUAACUGAUACUACCCAGCCAGUUGACUGGCAGCAGAGAUAUUGGGAGAGGCACUUGCAAAGUUGCCUAGAUGAAGCAGCAGAAAUAGCCUCACUACCAUCUUUUUCUAAAUGUAUUGGAGAAAUAGAGAUGUCAGACUCUGUAUUGAAAUAUAUUGCCAGCGAAGGGUUUGCUCAUUUCUGGUGUGCAAAGUAUAG
This 283-nucleotide unclassified non-coding RNA is filed under the name Hevea brasiliensis (rubber tree). Lineage: Eukaryota; Viridiplantae; Streptophyta; Magnoliopsida; Malpighiales; Euphorbiaceae. The record is from RNAcentral.